GAUGAAGAACGUAGCGAAAUGCGAUAAGUAAUGUGAAUUGCAGAAUUCAGUGAAUCAUCGAAUCUUUGAACGCACCUUGCACCCUUUGGUAUUCCGAAGGGUAUGCUCGUUUGAGUUUCAUUGUACUCUCACACUUCUAAUUCCUUUCGGGAUUGGGAGCGGUGGACUUGGGUGUUGCUGCUUUAGUUGUGGCUCACCUCAAAUAAGUUAGUGCAACUCUUGGUUGGACAUAGUACGGCGUGAUAAGUGUCUUCGCCGGCGCCUCUGUAAGGAGGGUGGCCGAUCGGGAGCUCUGUGCUUCAAACCGUCUUCGGACAAUCUUUGACAACUUGACCUCAAAUCGAGUAGGACUACCCGCUGAACUUAAGCAUAUCAAUAAGCGGAGGA
This 387-nucleotide unclassified non-coding RNA is filed under the name soil metagenome. RNAcentral's name for it is "partial contains 5.8S ribosomal RNA, internal transcribed spacer 2, and large subunit ribosomal RNA". The stretch from base 1 to 120 matches the Rfam family "5.8S ribosomal RNA", at positions 35 to 154 of the family's 154-position model. The record is from RNAcentral.